RNAcentral lists this ribosomal RNA (478 nucleotides) under uncultured bacterium. RNAcentral's name for it is "bacterial SSU rRNA". It matches the Rfam family "Bacterial small subunit ribosomal RNA", at positions 28 to 507 of the family's 1533-position model. The record is from RNAcentral.
GAUGAACGCUAGCUGGAGGCUUAAUACAUGCAAGUCGAGCGGGAUUGGUAGCAAUACCAUGAGAGCGGCGCACGGGUGAGUAACGCGUACACGACCUACCUCUGACAGGGGGAUAGCCCUGGGAAACUGGGAUUAAUACCGCAUAUUAUUCUGAUUAAUAAAGGAUUGGAAUGAAAGUUCAGGCGGUCAGAGAUGGGUGUGCGUCUGAUUAGCUAGUUGGUAGGGUAACGGCCUACCAAGGCGAUGAUCAGUAGGGGGCGUGAGAGCGUGGUCCCCCACACGGGUACUGAGACACGGACCCGACUCCUACGGGAGGCAGCAGUAAGGAAUAUUGGACAAUGGCCGAAAGGCUGAUCCAGCCAUCCAGCGUGCAGGAAGAAGGCCCUAUGGGUUGUAAACUGCUUUUAUCAGGGAAUAAACCUCUGGAUUCACUCCGGAGCUGAAGGUACCUGAAGAAUAAGCACCGGCUAACUCCGUG